GUUGCUCUGAUUGCUUAUUGCACCACAUGUGUUUUUCUUUGAAACAAACUUGCUUUGGCGGUGGGCCCAGCCUGCCGCCAGAGGUCUAAACUUACAACCAAUUUUUUAUCAACUUGUCACACCAGAUUAUUACUAAUAGUCAAAACUUUCAACAACGGAUCUCUUGGUUCUCGCAUCGAUGAAGAACGCAGCGAAAUGCGAUACGUAAUAUGAAUUGCAGAUAUUCGUGAAUCAUCGAAUCUUUGAACGCACAUUGCGCCCUCUGGUAUUCCGGAGGGCAUGCCUGUUUGAGCGUCGUUUCUCCCUCAAACCGCUGGGUUUGGUGUUGAGCAAUACGACUUGGGUUUGCUUGAAAGACGGUAGUGGUAAGGCGGGAUCGCUUUGACAAUGGCUUAGGUCUAACCAAAAACAUUGCUUGCGGCGGUAACGUCCACCACGUAUAUCUUCAAACUUUGACCUCAAAUCAGGUAGGACUACCCGCUGAACUUAAGCAUAUCAAAAGCCGGAGGAA
Molecule: ribosomal RNA, 511 nt
Filed under: Candida albicans
Lineage: Eukaryota; Fungi; Ascomycota; Pichiomycetes; Serinales; Debaryomycetaceae
Description: eukaryotic LSU rRNA
Rfam family: 5.8S ribosomal RNA (bases 144-297)
Source: RNAcentral